CAGCCGCCGCGGUAAUACGAAGGGUGCAAGCGUUAAUCGGAAUUACUGGGCGUAAAGCGCACGUAGGCGGCUUGGUAAGUUAGAGGUGAAAGCCCGGAGCUCAACUCCGGAAUUGCCUUUGAGACUGCCGAGCUAGUAGGUGAGAGAGGUAAGUGGAAUUCCGAGUGUAGAGGUGAAAUUCGUAGAUAUUCGGAAGAACACCAGUGGCGAAGGCGGCUUACUGGCUCAUUCUAGACGCUGAGGUGCGAAAGCGUGGGGAGCAAACAGGAUUAGAGACCCCCGUAGUCCCUGUCUCUUAUAC
This 301-nucleotide ribosomal RNA is filed under the name uncultured bacterium. Its description in RNAcentral is "partial 16S ribosomal RNA". It matches the Rfam family "Bacterial small subunit ribosomal RNA", at positions 509 to 807 of the family's 1533-position model. The record is from RNAcentral.